Molecule: ribosomal RNA, 298 nt
Filed under: Amblyomma maculatum (Gulf Coast tick)
Lineage: Eukaryota; Metazoa; Arthropoda; Arachnida; Ixodida; Ixodidae
Description: partial 16S ribosomal RNA
Rfam family: Bacterial large subunit ribosomal RNA
Source: RNAcentral
UUUGGGCAAGAAGACCCUAUGAAUUUUAAAAAUUUCAAUAAAAUACAGCAUUUUAUUGAAAUUUUUUAAUUGGGGCGAUUAUUAAAUAUUAAAAACUUUAAUUUUUUUAAAAAAGAACCAAUAAUAUUGGUUAUUUGAAAAAAUACUCUAGGGAUAACAGCGUAAUAAUUUUUGAUAGUUCUUAUAGACAAAAUAGUUUGCGACCUCGAUGUUGGAUUAGGAUUCUUUUUUAAUGAAGAAGUUAAAAAAAGAAGUUUGUUCAACUUUUAAAAUCCUACUUGAUCUGAGUUCAGACCGG